This 263-nucleotide ribosomal RNA is filed under the name uncultured Oscillibacter sp. RNAcentral describes it as "partial 16S ribosomal RNA". It matches the Rfam family "Bacterial small subunit ribosomal RNA", at positions 77 to 339 of the family's 1533-position model. The record is from RNAcentral. Lineage: Bacteria; Bacillati; Bacillota; Clostridia; Eubacteriales; Oscillospiraceae.
AAAUGAUGGGAAUGCUUAGUGGCGGACUGGUGAGUAACGCGUGAGGAACCUGCCUUUCAGAGGGGGACAACAGUUGGAAACGACUGCUAAUACCGCAUGAUGUGUGACGGGGGCAUCCCUGACACACCAAAGAUUUUAUCGCUGAAAGAUGGCCUCGCGUCUGAUUAGCUAGUUGGUGAGGUAACGGCCCACCAAGGCGACGAUCAGUAGCCGGACUGAGAGGUUGAACGGCCACAUUGGGACUGAGAUACGGCCCAGACUCC